Molecule: ribosomal RNA, 1305 nt
Filed under: uncultured Microgenomates group bacterium
Lineage: Bacteria
Description: bacterial SSU rRNA
Rfam family: Bacterial small subunit ribosomal RNA
Source: RNAcentral
CAGGAUGAACGCUGGCGGUGUGCCUUAGGUAUGCAAGUCGAACGCCCCCUUCGGGGGGAGUGGCAGACGGGUGAGUAACACGUAGGAAUCUACCCAGGUAGUGUGGGAAUAGCCCAUCUAAAGGUGGGGUAAUACCGCAUACUCCUGCAAAGGGAAAGUCUUCGGACGCUAUUGGAGGAGCCUGCGCGCUAUCAGCUUGUUGGUGGGCUAACGGCCUACCAAGGGUAUGACGGUUAGCCGAUGUGAGAGCAUGAUCUGCCUCAAGGUCACUGAGACACGGGGUCGACACCCUACGGGUGGCAUCAACCGGGAAUAUUGCGCAAUGGGUGAAAGCCUGACUGAACGACCCCGCGUGAGGAAAGACGCUUUUCUCAGUGUCAACCACUGUGGCAGGUUAAGAAGAUUCUGACUGUACCCUGCUAGAAAGCACCUGCUAACUACGUGCCAGAAGCCUCGGUAAUACGUAGGGUGCAAGCGUAUUCCGGAUNUACUGGGCGUAAAGGGUCCGUCGGCGUCUUUGUAAGUCUUCUGUNUAAGCCUGGGGCUCAACUCCAGAAAGGCAGAAGAAACUACUUAGAUUGAGUAUGUCAGAGGAGUUUGGAAUUCUCGGUGGAGGGGUGAAAUCCGUAGAUAUCGAGAGGAACGCCAAUCGCGAAAGCAGAACUCUGGGACAUUACUGACGCUCAUGGACGAAAGCUAGGGUAGCAAAAGGGAUUAGAGACCCCUGUAGUCCUAGCCGUAAACGUUCCUUGCUAGAUGCUUGAUCUCUGAUUGGGUGUCGUAAGCUAACGCGUUAAGCAAGGCGCCUGGGGAGUACGACCGCAAGGUUAAAACUCAAAGGAAUUGACGGGGGAGCGCACAACCGGUGGAGCAUGCGGUUUAAUUCGAUACAAAGCGAAAGACCUUACCCAGACUUGACAUGUGCCUGCACGUCCCAAGAAAUUGGGAUUUCUUCGAGAGUGGCACACAGGUGAUGCAUGGCUGUCGUCAGCUCGUGUCGUGAGACGUCCUCUUAAGUGAGGUAACGAGCGCAACCCUUGCCGUCAGUUACAAGUGUCUGACGGGACUGCCUUCGCUUAUCGAGGGAGGAAGGAGAGGACGACGUCAAGUCAGCAUGUCCCUUACGUCUGGGGCUACACACAUCCUACAAUGGAGCCGACAACGGGUAGCGAUGGAGCAAUCCUGAGCUAAUCCUUUAAACGGCCCCUCAGUUCGGAUUGAGGGCUGCAAUUCGCCCUCAUGAAGCCGGAAUCGGUAGUAAUCGCAAAUCAGCAGGUUGCGGUGAAUACGUUCUCGCUCCUUGCA